CUUUGAACACAUGGGCUUAUAGUUUUAUACUGUGUGGUCACAGCCAUCCAUGGUGCUUCUAGAACAGUAUGAGAAUGGCUUUCAUGUUAACCACUCGUGAGUCAAAUAAUGUCUUAUGUGCAGGAAAUAUAAUGCUUUACUAUGUCCUUGGUGAGAUCCAACCUUACAAUUUGUAAAUAGGCCCGACAUGGCUAUUAUAUGAUUACGAGUCAAUUUCAAGGAUUGAUUUUAGAGAUGGAUUUAGUAAUAUCUGUGACAUUUGUGGAACAUGGGGCAUGUUAAGGAAGACGUUGAACAUUUGGGACAGACUUCUGCUAAAGGCAUAAGGAAGGCACAGAAUCAUGGACAUGGAAGCUGAGAGUCUGCCUAAU
Canis lupus familiaris (dog) is the source of this 371-nucleotide long non-coding RNA. RefSeq lists it as uncharacterized. Lineage: Eukaryota; Metazoa; Chordata; Mammalia; Carnivora; Canidae. The record is from RefSeq and is a predicted model, not a curated record. The transcript is spliced from 3 exons.